This 485-nucleotide ribosomal RNA is filed under the name uncultured bacterium. RNAcentral's name for it is "partial 16S ribosomal RNA". It matches the Rfam family "Bacterial small subunit ribosomal RNA", at positions 28 to 507 of the family's 1533-position model. The record is from RNAcentral.
GAUGAACGCUAGCGACAGGCUUAACACAUGCAAGUCGAGGGGCAGCACAGGUAGCAAUACCGGGUGGCGACCGGUGCACGGGUGAGUAACGCGUAUGCAACUUACCUAUCAGAGGGGGAUAACCCGGCGAAAGUCGGACUAAUACCGCAUGAAGCAGGGGUCCCGCAUGGGGAUAUUUGCUAAAUAUUCAUCGCUGAUAGAUAGGCAUGCGUUCCAUUAGGCAGUUGGCGGGGUAACGGCCCACCAAACCGACGAUGGAUAGGGGUUCUGAGAGGAAGGUCCCCCACAUUGGUACUGAGACACGGACCAAACUCCUACGGGAGGCAGCAGUGAGGAAUAUUGGUCAAUGGCCGAGAGGCUGAACCAGCCAAGUCGCGUGAGGGAUGAAGGUUCUAUGGAUCGUAAACCUCUUUUAUAAGGGAAUAAAGUGCGGGACGUGUCCCGUUUUGUAUGUACCUUAUGAAUAAGGAUCGGCUAACUCCGUG